CACUCCUAACAGCUAGCCCCUCCCCCAAAAUCAACAAACAACAUUAAUAAGCCGACAAACCCAACAUAUUAAUUAACAAAUCAUUUUUCCCCCUUAGUAUGGGAGACAGAAAAGGACACACGGCGCAAUAGAAAAAGUACCGCAAGGGAAAGCUGAAAGAGAAAUGAAAAAACCCAGUAAAGAGAUAAAAAGCAGAGAUUAUCUCUCGUACCUUUUGCAUCAUGAUUUAGCUAGUAACCAUCAAGCAAAGUGCCCUUUAGUUUGAUUCCCCGAAACUGAGCGAGCUACUCCAAGACAGCCUAUUUAGGGCAAACCCGUCUCUGUGGCAAAAGAGUGGGAAGAUCUUUGAGUAGAGGUGACAGACCUACCGAGCUCAGUUAUAGCUGGUUACCCAUAAAAUGAACAGAAGUUCAGCCUUUACUCUUCUUCCCUCAGCUUUGCCCAUGCUUACAAUGACACAAAGAAGCUUAAAGAGUUAUUUAAGGGGGGAACAGCCCCCUUAAAAAAAGACACAACUUUAUUAAGCAGGCUAAAGAUUAAAAGACUCCAGGAACAAUACCUUGGUGGGCCCAAAAGCAGCCACCCUCACAGAAAGCGUUAAAGCUCAAGUAUUCUUAUAUCCCUAAUUCCUACAACCACAUCUUAAGCCCCUUAGUAUAUAGUGGGAUUUUUCAUGCAACCAUGAAAGUAAUACUGCUAAAAUGAGUAAUAAGAGGCUAUGACCCUCUCCAUAACACCUGUAUACAUCAGAACGAACCCCCACUGAAAAUUAACGCUCCCAACACAAAGAGGGCACUGAGACACCCCAAAAUAAACUAGAAGUAUACUCAAAAACAAGCGUUAACCCAACACAGGUGUGUUUAAGGAAAGACUAAAAGGGAAGGAAGGAACUCGGCAAACACUGGCCUCGCCUGUUUACCAAAAACAUCGCCUCUUGCAACAAACAUAUAAGAGGUCCCGCCUGCCCUGUGACUUUUUAGUUUAACGGCCGCGGUAUUUUGACCGUGCGAAGGUAGCGUAAUCACUUGUCUUUUAAAUGGAGACCUGUAUGAAUGGCACAACGAGGGCUAAACUGUCUCCCUUCCCCAGUCAAUGAAAUUGAUCUCCCUGUGCAGAAGCAGGGAUAUGAACAUAAGACGAGAAGACCCUAUGGAGCUUCAGACACAAGGCAGCCCAUGUAAAUACCUUAAUUAACAGAAUAAACAAAAUGGCCCCUGCCCUUUGUCUUUGGUUGGGGCGACCGCGGAGAAACAAAAAUCCUCCACGUGGAAUAAGGCCUUCUCCUUUAAAACCAGAGCCACAGCUCUAGUUAACAGAACAUCUGACCCACAAGAUCCGGCAAAGCCGAUCAACGGACCGAGUUACCCUAGGGAUAACAGCGCAAUCCCCUUUUAGAGCCCAUAUCGACAAGGGGGUUUACGACCUCGAUGUUGGAUCAGGACAUCCUAAUGGUGCAGCCGCUAUUAAGGGUUC
Molecule: ribosomal RNA, 1473 nt
Filed under: Eutaeniichthys gilli
Lineage: Eukaryota; Metazoa; Chordata; Actinopteri; Gobiiformes; Gobiidae
Description: partial 16S ribosomal RNA
Rfam family: Bacterial large subunit ribosomal RNA
Source: RNAcentral